AGAGUGUGGUAGGGGCAGAGGGAAUUCCCGGUGUAGCGGUGAAAUGCGUAGAUAUCGGGAAGAACACCAGUGGCGAAGGCGCUCUGCUGGGCCAUAACUGACGCUCAUGGACGAAAGCCAGGGGAGCGAAAGGGAUUAGAUACCCCUGUAGUCCUGGCCGUAAACGAUGAACACUAGGUGUCGGGGGAAUCGACCCCCUCGGUGUCGUAGCCAACGCGUUAAGUGUUCCGCCUGGGGAGUACGCACGCAAGUGUGAAACUCAAAGGAAUUGACGGGGGCCCGCACAAGCGGUGGAGUAUGUGGUUUAAUUCGAUGCAACGCGAAGAACCUUACCAGGGUUUGACAUCCUGCGAAUCUCCUGGAAACGGGAGAGUGCCUUCGGGAACGCAGUGACAGGUGGUGCAUGGCUGUCGUCAGCUCGUGUCGUGAGAUGUUGGGUUAAGUCCCGCAACGAGCGCAACCCACGUCUUUAGUUGCCAGCAUUCAGUUGGGCACUCUAGAGAGACCGCCGGUGAUAAACCGGAGGAAGGUGUGGAUGACGUCAAGUCAUCAUGCCCCUUACAUCCUGGGCUACACACGUACUACAAUGCUACGGACAAAGGGCAGCAAACUCGCGAGAGCUAGCAAAUCCCAUAAACCGUGGCUCAGUUCAGAUCGUAGGCUGCAACUCGCCUACGUGAAGGAGGAAUCGCUAGUAAUCGCAGGUCAGCAUACUGCGGUGAAUACGUUCCCGGGCCUUGUACACACCGCCCGUCACACCAUGGAAGUUGGCCACGCCCGAAGCCGUUACUCCAACCCUUGUGGAGGAGGACGUCGAAGGUGGGGCUGAU
This 830-nucleotide ribosomal RNA is filed under the name marine metagenome. RNAcentral's name for it is "bacterial SSU rRNA". It matches the Rfam family "Bacterial small subunit ribosomal RNA", at positions 643 to 1472 of the family's 1533-position model. The record is from RNAcentral.